RNAcentral lists this ribosomal RNA (253 nucleotides) under uncultured bacterium. RNAcentral's name for it is "partial 16S ribosomal RNA". It matches the Rfam family "Bacterial small subunit ribosomal RNA", at positions 524 to 776 of the family's 1533-position model. The record is from RNAcentral.
UACGAAGGGGGCUAGCGUUGCUCGGAAUCACUGGGCGUAAAGGGUGCGUAGGCGGGUCUUUAAGUCAGGGGUGAAAUCCUGGAGCUCAACUCCAGAACUGCCUUUGAUACUGAGGAUCUUGAGUUCGGGAGAGGUGAGUGGAACUGCGAGUGUAGAGGUGAAAUUCGUAGAUAUUCGCAAGAACACCAGUGGCGAAGGCGGCUCACUGGUCCGGAUCUGACGCUGAGGCGCGAAAGCGUGGGGAGCAAACAGG